CAGCACGUUCGACGGAAGAUCAGAAGACAGAGCCUUCACUUGUGCUUCUAAUGGAUGGAUUCCCCGACGACAUGCAUGGUCAACACAGCUAUUGGCUAUUUCUCACCGGAUAUGGUACGCCAACCAUUGCCGCCCCUGGGUGAUGUCGUUAAUCAAGUACUUGAAUGAUAGACUCCUUGAUCUACCUUUCCACAAUUCAAGCCAGCAACAACGGUUGGGGGGGUCAGAUACGCAUGCACAUCCCUCGUGCAAGCUUUAUACUUGAAGAGAAACUACGGAUCCGGCCACGCAGCACGUCGUAAGUAAACCUGCUCCGACAUCACCGAUGGCCUGACAUUGGCCUCACGGCUGUCUUCGUGCUUUGUUGGCACAUCAUCUGCCUGCAGUCGUCACCAAACGACCGAUCCGUCGUCAUCCGCGGACCAGAAGCACAAUGACCUAGAUCAAUGCAUGCUACUCUCUAUGACACAAUUAGGAUGAUAUUACAUCCGCAUCACAUAUGUGCAUGGUGUGUACGACAUACGGAUCAAUGGAGUAUAUACAUACUCUGCUAUAAACGAUGUUCCCCAUACUUCCUGUAUAUGUCAACUUGGUACUCCUUUUCAAUAAUACAGCAUACUACCAUUUUUU
Molecule: long non-coding RNA, 630 nt
Organism: Triticum aestivum (bread wheat)
Lineage: Eukaryota; Viridiplantae; Streptophyta; Magnoliopsida; Poales; Poaceae
Exons: 3
Source: RefSeq, a predicted model, not a curated record